CCUACGGGCGGCAGCAGUGAGGAAUAUUGGUCAAUGGACGAGAGUCUGAACCAGCCAAGUAGCGUGAAGGAUGACUGCCCUAUGGGUUGUCAACUUCUUUUAUAUGGGAAUAAAAUGUUCCACGUGUGGGAUUUUGUAUGUACCAUAUGAAUAAGGAUCGGCGAACUCCGUGCCAGCAGCCGCGGUAAUACGGAGGAUGCGAGCGUUGUCCGGAUUUCGUGGGUUUAAAGGGUGCGUAGGCGGAAUGCCAAGUCAGCGGUAAAAUCGCGGGGCUCAACCUCGCUCCGCCGUUGAAACUGGCGUUCUUGAGUGGGCGAGAGGUAUGCGGAAUGCGUGGUGUAGCGGUGAAAUGCAUAGAUAGCACGCAGAACCCCGAUUGCGAAGGCAGCAUACCGGUGCACAACUGACGCUCAGGCACGAAAGCGUGGGUAUCGAACAGGAUUAGAUACCCCUGUAGUC
Molecule: ribosomal RNA, 459 nt
Filed under: uncultured bacterium
Lineage: Bacteria
Description: partial 16S ribosomal RNA
Rfam family: Bacterial small subunit ribosomal RNA
Source: RNAcentral